Molecule: ribosomal RNA, 460 nt
Filed under: uncultured bacterium
Lineage: Bacteria
Description: partial 16S ribosomal RNA
Rfam family: Bacterial small subunit ribosomal RNA
Source: RNAcentral
CCUACGGGAGGCAGCAGUGAGGAAUAUUGGUCAAUGGCCGUAAGGCUGAACCAGCCAAUUCGCGUGAAGGAAGAAGGAUCUAUGGUUUGUAAACUUCUUUUAUAGGGGAAUAAAGGUAUCCACGUGUGGAUAUUUGCAUGUACCCUAUGAAUAAGCAUCGGCUAACUCCGUGCCAGCAGCCGCGGUAAUACGGAGGAUGCGAGCGUUAUCCGGAUUUAUUGGGUUUAAAGGGUGCGUAGGUUGUUUUUUAAGUCAGCGGUGAAAGGUUGUGGCUCAACCCUAAAAUUGCCGUUGAAACUGGAGGACUUGAGUGUGUUUGAGGUAGGCGGAAUGCGUGGUGUAGCGGUGAAAUGCAUAGAUAUCGCGCAGAACUCCGAUUGCGAAGGCAGCUUACUGAGCCAUAACUGACACUGAGGCACGAAAGCGUGGGGAUCGAACAGGAUUAGAUACCCGGGUAGUC